AUUGAACGCUGGCGGCAGGCCUAACACAUGCAAGUCGAGCGGAUGAAGGGAGCUUGCUCCUGGAUUCAGCGGCGGACGGGUGAGUAAUGCCUAGGAAUCUGCCUGGUAGUGGGGGAUAACGUCCGGAAACGGGCGCUAAUACCGCAUACGUCCUGAGGGAGAAAGUGGGGGAUCUUCGGACCUCACGCUAUCAGAUGAGCCUAGGUCGGAUUAGCUAGUUGGUGGGGUAAAGGCCUACCAAGGCGACGAUCCGUAACUGGUCUGAGAGGAUGAUCAGUCACACUGGAACUGAGACACGGUCCAGACUCCUACAGGAGGCAGCAGUGGGGAAUAUUGGACAAUGGGCGAAAGCCUGAUCCAGCCAUGCCGCGUGUGUGAAGAAGGUCUUCGGAUUGUAAGGCACUUUAAGUUGGGAGGAAGGGCAGUAAGUUAAUACCUUGCUGUUUUGACGUUACCAACAGAAUAAGCACCGGCUAACUUCGUG
RNAcentral lists this ribosomal RNA (484 nucleotides) under uncultured bacterium. RNAcentral's name for it is "partial 16S ribosomal RNA". It matches the Rfam family "Bacterial small subunit ribosomal RNA", at positions 30 to 507 of the family's 1533-position model. The record is from RNAcentral.